AUUUAAAUAGCUUAAUUAUAGAGCGUAAUAUUGAAGAUAUUAAUGUAGUUUUAAACUUUUAAAUA
Molecule: transfer RNA, 65 nt
Filed under: Schlettererius cinctipes
Lineage: Eukaryota; Metazoa; Arthropoda; Insecta; Hymenoptera; Stephanidae
Description: tRNA-Phe
Source: RNAcentral